This 403-nucleotide ribosomal RNA is filed under the name uncultured bacterium. RNAcentral's name for it is "bacterial SSU rRNA". It matches the Rfam family "Bacterial small subunit ribosomal RNA", at positions 362 to 757 of the family's 1533-position model. The record is from RNAcentral.
UUUUGGACAAUGGGCGAAAGCCUGAUCCAGCAAUGCCGCGUGUGGGAAGAAGGCCUUCGGGUUGUAAACCACUUUUGUACGGAACGAAAAGGUCUGCCCUAAUACGGUGGGCCCAUGACGGUACCGUAAGAAUAAGCACCGGCUAACUACGUGCCAGCAGCCGCGGUAAUACGUAGGGUGCGAGCGUUAAUCGGAAUUACUGGGCGUAAAGCGUGCGCAGGCGGUUAUAUAAGACAGUUGUGAAAUCCCCGGGCUCAACCUGGGGAUUGCAUCUGUGACUGUAUAGCUAGAGUACGGUAGAGGGGGAUGGGAUUCCGCGUGUAGCAGUGAAAUGCGUAGAUAUGCGGAGGAACACCGAUGGCGAAGGCAAUCCCCUGGACCUGUACUGACGCUCAUGCACGAG